This 443-nucleotide ribosomal RNA is filed under the name uncultured bacterium. RNAcentral's name for it is "partial 16S ribosomal RNA". It matches the Rfam family "Bacterial small subunit ribosomal RNA", at positions 338 to 795 of the family's 1533-position model. The record is from RNAcentral.
CCUACGGGUGGCAGCAGUGGGGAAUAUUGGGCAAUGGACGCAACCCUGACCCAGCAACGCCGCGUGAAUGAUGAAGGCUCUCGGGUUGUAAACUUCUUUUCUCAGGGACGAAGCAAGUGACGGUACCUUAGGAAUAAGCCUCGGCUAACUACGUGCCAGCAGCCGCGGUAAUACGUAGGAGGCAAGCGUUAUCCGGAAUUACUGGGUGUAAAGGGCGGGUAGGCGGGUUAGCAAGUCAGUUGUGAAACUCAUGGGCUCAACUUCUGAACUGCAUCCGAAACUGUUUGUCUUGAGUGCUGGAGAGGCAGAUGGAAUUCCUAGUGUAGCGGUGAAAUGCGUAGAUAUUAGGAGGAACACCAGUGGCGAAGGCGAUCUGCUGGACAGCAACUGACGCUGAGGCGCGAAAGCGUGGGGAGCAAACAGGAUUAGAUACCCGUGUAGUC